This is a long non-coding RNA of Corvus hawaiiensis (hawaiian crow), 244 nucleotides long. RefSeq lists it as uncharacterized. The record is from RefSeq and is a predicted model, not a curated record. NCBI's taxonomy places the organism in Eukaryota, Metazoa, Chordata, Aves, Passeriformes, Corvidae. The transcript has 4 exons.
UGGUGGUCAUGGAGGGGUCGAGGUGGCCAUGGAGGGGUCAUGGUGGCCAUGGAGGGGUUGUGGUGGCCAUGGAGGGGUCAUGGUGGUCAUGGAGGGGUUGUGGUGGCAAUGGAAGGGUCAAGGUGGUCAUGGAGGGGUUGUGGUGGCCGUGGAAGGGUCAAGGUGGUCAUGGAGGAGUUGAGGUGGUCAUGGAGGGGUUGUGGUGGCCAUGGAAGGGGGUCAAGGUGGUCAUUGAAGGCUUGUG